AAGAGAUAUGAAAAAUCUAGGUAAUCUAUUUGAGAAGAGUAGAUCGGGUAGAGAGAAGUGGGUCUAAGUGUUAGGGAGCAACUAUGGUAGUUUUGGUGGUUUUUAAACAUGGAAGAAGAUGACCCUAUUUAAAAUAAAAAUAAAAAUAAACUAAAAAAUUAACAUUUGAUACAAAAAUUAUCAUGUUCACACGCUUCAUUUGAUGGUAAUGAUACGCACGGACCACGUGGGCAAAGUGGUGUGUCUUAGACAUACUCUAUAAAGGUCGGGUGUGUAAAAGGUUGUAUGUGAUGGAGAGGUGUGUAACAGGGAUUUGGGUGCAAGGUCAAUGGGUAAACUAUGUAUUUUGCCUUUUUUCGAUGAUGUCCAGAUCAGCUUGCGCACACCUGAAUUAUUCCGGACGUUAUCUACAUGCUCAUUAAAAUAGGAAUCAAAAAACUAAUCACCUAAUAGUAAAUUCUUUUACCGUAUUGGGAUUUGAACCCCGAUUACCAAGGUUUGCUUUCAUUGAUCACUAAGUCACCUCCUUAGGUAUCGCUAAAAUCAAAAGAUUGUUUCAGUUUGUGAUAAGCUAGCAUCAUCCAUCCACACUGGUGUACUAUACAUUAGAGACUUACACCAAGAUUUGAACUUUACUGGUUCGAGAUUCUACUCUUUUAAGUUGCUGAAUUUUAAAUUAAUCAUUUGUAUCUUUUUGGGAAAUUAUGCACAAUUAAAUGUUGGAUAUAGUUACUUCUGCUCGGAGAGAUAGAGAGAAAGAGAGAGAAGAGCACUUGUGCUUGAAAAAUGAAUAAAUCUUCCCAUUAGAACUUCUAUUGUUAGCUCACUCCAUCUAAAUGUAAUUGCUGAAUUUUUGUAUUUGGUGUACGAACUAGCUCACAAGCACCUCAAAUAUUCUAACGAGUAUGUACUUUCUUAUACAAAUGAAUGAAAUGACCUAACACCUCAACCAUACCAUUGAGUAUGUCUUUAUCUUCCACCAACACAAAUAUCAGCCAACUCUAUCGACCCAAGCUUAGACCGAUGAAAAAACAUCACCAACCCUCUACAAGAAUUUGAAAUCCAGGGCCCAACAACUGCACCUACUUCAUUAACACCCUUUGGUGCUAGUUUGCUCUUCUUACAUCCUUCUUCACUUACUCUCUCCUUAAUUUACGCACUGAAAUGGAAAGAAAACCGAAUUGAUAAUGGAUUGAAAGAGAACAGAGGAGGUCUAGAAUGGAGGCAAUCAGAAGCUCCAAAAAGGUCUCAAGAUUCUUACUGCUAGAAAAACUAUCUGUUUAAUUUGACACAUUUUAUUGGUCAUGCAGCAGCAGACGAAACACCACCCCUUGCACAUCUCCAGGCUCAGUGAAAUUAGAUACAACUCCAAUUCAUGACCUUGUUUAAAUAGAAGCCAACAUUCAAUCUAGGUACAUAAGUCUAUACCAUCCUGGCAAAAAGUCCUCAUUUCUUCUUUCAUGAAAAUUGGUGCGUAAUGCAGUUUCCCAGAUGAAGAUAUGAACUACACACCUAGAUAUCUGAUGUGUUUAAC
RNAcentral lists this long non-coding RNA (1534 nucleotides) under Nicotiana tabacum (common tobacco). RNAcentral describes it as "long non-coding RNA (NTAB_LNC013126)". Lineage: Eukaryota; Viridiplantae; Streptophyta; Magnoliopsida; Solanales; Solanaceae. The record is from RNAcentral.